GACGAACGCUGGCGGCGUGCUUAACACAUGCCAGUCGAACGGAAAGGCCCUGCUUUUGCGGGGUGCUCGAGUGGCGAACGGGUGAGUAACACGUGAGUAACCUGCCCUUGACUUUGGGAUAACUUCAGGAAACUGGGGCUAAUACCGGAUAGGAGCUCCUGCUGCAUGGUGGGGGUUGGAAAGUUUCGGCGGUUGGGGAUGGACUCGCGGCUUAUCAGCUUGUUGGUGGGGUAGUGGCUUACCAAGGCUUUGACGGGUAGCCGGCCUGAGAGGGUGACCGGCCACAUUGGGACUGAGAUACGGCCCAGACUCCUACGGGAGGCAGCAGUGGGGAAUAUUGCACAAUGGGCGGAAGCCUGAUGCAGCAACGCCGCGUGCGGGAUGACGGCCUUCGGGUUGUAAACCGCUUUCGCCUGUGACGAAGCGUGAGUGACGGUAAUGGGUAAGGAAGCACCGGCUAACUACGUG
This 468-nucleotide ribosomal RNA is filed under the name uncultured bacterium. RNAcentral describes it as "partial 16S ribosomal RNA". It matches the Rfam family "Bacterial small subunit ribosomal RNA", at positions 28 to 507 of the family's 1533-position model. The record is from RNAcentral.